RNAcentral lists this ribosomal RNA (333 nucleotides) under Tomentella sp. OTU-11. RNAcentral's name for it is "eukaryotic LSU rRNA". The stretch from base 1 to 72 matches the Rfam family "5.8S ribosomal RNA", at positions 84 to 154 of the family's 154-position model. The record is from RNAcentral. Lineage: Eukaryota; Fungi; Basidiomycota; Agaricomycetes; Thelephorales; Thelephoraceae.
GUGAGUCAUCGAAUCUUUGAACGCACCUUGCGCCCCUUGGUUAUUCCUCGGAGCAUGCCUGUUUGAGUAUCAUGAACACCUCAACUCUCAUGGUCUUCCAUGAUGAGCUUGGACUUUGGGGGUUUGCUGGCCCUGUGGCCGGCUCCUCUCAAAUGAAUCAGCUUGCCAGUGUUUGGUGGCGUCACGGGUGUGAUAACUAUCUACGCUCGCGGUCGUCUGCCAGGUAACCCUCAGCGAUGAAGGUUCAUUGGGGCUCAUAAACGUCUCUCCCCAGCGAGGACAACUUUUGAACGUUCGAUCUCAAAUCAGGUAGGACUACCCGCUGAACUUAAA